UGCAGCUCCACCUGUUAAUGACACAAACGGCUCUGAAGAAUCACCAGGAUUUGAAAUUAUCUGACGUUCGUCACCAGAAGCAGAUGAAGUGAAGUCAGAAAGCAGAAGUUGGUAAAUCUCUGGUUCCAUGUUUGCUACCUGAAGUGGGAGUCCUGCCUUCGCGCCGAGAAGAGUUGGGGAAAACCAGGGCCGGAAUAUUUUCUCACAGAUCACCUGAGAAAGACGAAGACAGGACAGAUGGAGGAAACGUGAUCUGCUCAGAGCAAACGUUUCAAAUAAAGAUAAACCAGAUCUGAA
This is a long non-coding RNA of Poecilia reticulata (guppy), 297 nucleotides long. RefSeq lists it as uncharacterized. Lineage: Eukaryota; Metazoa; Chordata; Actinopteri; Cyprinodontiformes; Poeciliidae. The record is from RefSeq and is a predicted model, not a curated record.